AGGUGGGAGACGAGAUGGACACGUGGGAGGGGAGAUGGAAAGGUGGAGAGGAGAUGGACAGGUGGAGAGGAGAUGGACAGGAGGGAGAGGAGAUGGACAGGUGAGAGGGGAGAUGGACAGGAGGGAGAGGAGAUGGACAGGUGAAAGGGGAGAUGGAGAGGUGAAGGGGAGAUGGACAGGUGGAGGGGGAUGGACAGGAGGGAGAGGAGAUGGACAGGUGAAAGGGGAGAUGGACAGGAGGGAGAGGAGAUGGACAGGUGAAAGGGGAGAUGGACAGGAGGGAGAGGAGAUGGACAGGUGAAAGGGGAGAUGGACAGGUGAAAGGGGAGAUGGACAGGUGAAAGGGGAGAUGGACAGGA
This is a long non-coding RNA of Oncorhynchus tshawytscha (Chinook salmon), 359 nucleotides long. The record is from Ensembl. Lineage: Eukaryota; Metazoa; Chordata; Actinopteri; Salmoniformes; Salmonidae.